GACGUAGGGGGCAAGCGUUGUCCGGAUUUAUUGGGCGUAAAGAGCGUGUAGGCGGCCAUACAGGUCCGUUGUGAAAACUCGAGGCUUAACCUCGAGACGUCGAUGGAAACCGUAUGGCUAGAGUCCGGAAGAGGAGAGUGGAAUUCCUGGUGUAGCGGUGAAAUGCGCAGAUAUCAGGAAGAACACCGGUGGCGAAGGCGCUCUGCUAGGCCGCAACUGACACUGAGGGACGAAAGCUAGGGGAGCGAAUGGG
RNAcentral lists this ribosomal RNA (253 nucleotides) under uncultured bacterium. RNAcentral describes it as "partial 16S ribosomal RNA". It matches the Rfam family "Bacterial small subunit ribosomal RNA", at positions 524 to 776 of the family's 1533-position model. The record is from RNAcentral.